AAACAAGAUUGGUAUGUCACUGCAAUGGUUGAAAGAAUCAAGUGCAGUAGAGAUUGCUUUCAAUGGUCAAAGCAUCCAUGGGCGGAACGUUUGUGGAUUGAUGGGAAAUAAUAAUGAUAAUCCAGCAGACGAUUUGAUGAAACCCGAUGGGACCAUCGUCACCGACGUGUACGAGUUUGGAAACAGUUGGGUAGUGCCAGGCAGCUGCCCAUAACAACGAAUGAUGCUGAUGACACGAAUGUACUGAACACCCAAACAACUAAAAUUCAUUCAUAAAAAGAUGUGACGGGAUCAAGAUCAAUAUUUUGCUUGUUUUUCAAUAUACAUGCAUGUUAUAUUGUUGUGGCUGUAGAAACAUUUGUAGUUAUGACAUGGUUGGCCUGCAUACGUCACAAAAUCUAGUUGGAUGGAACAGAGGUGCAAACAAAUGCGUUGUAGUCGGUUAAUUCGUUAUUAAAACAUAUAAUUUAACUUUUAAUGAGAAAAUAUGAUAACUAAGGAAUGAGCUCGUUUUCUUGUUAACAUAAUAUAUAGUUUAUUUUGCGUUGGGAUUAUAUAAAUAAUGUAAUAUUUGUAGUUUAAUGUGGAAAAAUAAAAGGUUUUUGGAAAUGCA
Molecule: long non-coding RNA, 613 nt
Organism: Saccoglossus kowalevskii
Lineage: Eukaryota; Metazoa; Hemichordata; Enteropneusta; Harrimaniidae
Source: RefSeq, a predicted model, not a curated record